Picea glauca (white spruce) is the source of this 123-nucleotide non-coding RNA. The record is from Rfam. Lineage: Eukaryota; Viridiplantae; Streptophyta; Pinopsida; Pinales; Pinaceae.
AUGUGCAUUCCUACAACAUAGCAUUAAUGCAACAGAUCUCAUUAGAACUCCGCAAUUAAGCACGCUCAAACUAGAUUAGUACUGGGAUGAGUGACUACCCAAGAAGUCCUAGUGUUUCACAGU